AUGGAUUGGCAGGGGCAGAAGAGCGCGGAGAUGCUGAUGCAGGUGCUGCUGGUGGCGUCAGCGGUGGCGGCGUUCCUGGUCGGGUACGCGAUGGCCGACUUCCAGCUCAUGCUGCUCGUCUACGCCGGCGGGGUUGUCCUCACGGCCCUCGUCACCGUCCCCAACUGGCCCUUCUUCAACCGGCACCCGCUCAAGUGGCUCGACGCCGCCGAGGCUGAUCGCCACCCCCGCCCUCAGAUCAGCAGCGCACCAGCGACUACUGGGGGUAAGAAGAAGACCGGGAAAAACAAGUAG
Molecule: ribosomal RNA, 294 nt
Filed under: Triticum aestivum (bread wheat)
Lineage: Eukaryota; Viridiplantae; Streptophyta; Magnoliopsida; Poales; Poaceae
Description: partial small subunit ribosomal RNA
Source: RNAcentral